This 253-nucleotide ribosomal RNA is filed under the name uncultured bacterium. RNAcentral describes it as "partial 16S ribosomal RNA". It matches the Rfam family "Bacterial small subunit ribosomal RNA", at positions 524 to 776 of the family's 1533-position model. The record is from RNAcentral.
UACAGGGGGUGCAAACGUUGCUCGGAAUCAUUGGGCGUAAAGCGCACGUAGGCGGUCUGUUAUGUCGGAUGUGAAAGCCCUUGGCUUAACUGAGGAAGUGCAUCCGAAACUGGCAGGCUAGAGUACUAAAGAGGGUCGCGGAAUUCCCGGUGUAGAGGUGAAAUUCGUAGAUAUCUGGAGGAACACCGGUGGCGAAGGCGGCUUCCUGGCCUGUUCUUGACGCUGAGGCGCGAAAGCUAGGGGAGCAAACGGG